RNAcentral lists this long non-coding RNA (324 nucleotides) under Phoenix dactylifera (date palm). Its description in RNAcentral is "long non-coding RNA (PDAC_LNC002043)". Lineage: Eukaryota; Viridiplantae; Streptophyta; Magnoliopsida; Arecales; Arecaceae. The record is from RNAcentral.
UCCGCCUCCCACCCUCCUCUCUCUCUCUCUCUCUCUCUAUCUAUCUAUCUAUCUAUCUAUCUAUCUAUCUCACUCACUGUGGAGACUGGGCUAGAAAAGGAGCCUCUUUUAUUUUCACCGACGACUUAAUAUUGUUAAAAGCGACUGAUCACAGAGGUAAGAACCACAACUAGGAGCAGAGAGAGAAGGUUUGGAGCCUUGGAGGCAAGAGGGUAGGAAAAAUGGAUGAAUGAGAGAGAAGGCUUUCGCUUCUCUUUUAUAAAGAGGGAAACAUGCGUGAUGGCACGUGACACUUCUAUAAAAAGGCAGUGAGGCUGGUACAGG